GAUGAAGAACGCAGCGAAAUGCGAUAAGUAAUGUGAAUUGCAGAAUUCAGUGAAUCAUCGAAUCUUUGAACGCACAUUGCGCCCCCUGGUAUUCCGGGGGGCAUGCCUGUCAGAGCGUCAUUACAACCCUCAAGCUCAGCUUGGUGUUGGGCCCCGCCGCCCCGGCGGGCCCUAAAGUCAGUGGCGGUGCCGUCCGGCUCCGAGCGUAGUAAUUCUUCUCGCUCUGGAGGUCCGGUCGUGUGCUCGCCAGCAACCCCCAAUUUUUUUCAGGUUGACCUCGGAUCAGGUAGGGAUACCCGCUGAACUUAAGCAUAUAAUAAGCGGAGGA
This 328-nucleotide unclassified non-coding RNA is filed under the name soil metagenome. RNAcentral's name for it is "partial contains 5.8S ribosomal RNA, internal transcribed spacer 2, and large subunit ribosomal RNA". The stretch from base 1 to 120 matches the Rfam family "5.8S ribosomal RNA", at positions 35 to 154 of the family's 154-position model. The record is from RNAcentral.